Zonotrichia leucophrys gambelii is the source of this 1376-nucleotide RNA transcript. It is a transcript of the gene named nudix hydrolase 7, with no coding region annotated. Lineage: Eukaryota; Metazoa; Chordata; Aves; Passeriformes; Passerellidae. The transcript has 5 exons. The record is from RefSeq and is a predicted model, not a curated record.
GGGCGGUGCCGGAGAUGGGGGCGGAGCGGGAGGAGCCGGGCCCCGCUCGCGGUCCCUGUCCCUGUCCCUGUCCCGGCCCGGGGCAUGAGCGGGGCACGGCCCGAGCGUGCCCGAGCUCCGCUCUGCCCGCUCCUGGGCACGGCGCCAUGGAGAGGGCCCGGCACCGCCUGAGGCAGUUCGAUAUCGGGGACAGGUUCUCCGGCCUGCCGCUGCCCAGAGCCGCCGUGCUGCUGCCGCUGAUGGUGCGAGCGGGGCGGCUGCACCUGCUGCUCACCGUCCGCUCGCUGCAGCUGAGAAGAUCACCAGGGGAAGUGUGUUUUCCAGGAGGUAAAAGGGAAGACACUGAUAGAGAUGACAUUGACACUGCUCUCCGAGAAGCUAAAGAAGAAGUGGGUCUUCAGCCAGAGAAGGUGGAAGUCAUCUGUAGGCUGAUGCCUGGAAUUGAUAAAAUGAAUAACUUGGUGACACCAGUUGUAGGAUUUAUAGAGGAAACAUUCCAGGUCACUCCUAACCCAGAUGAAGUGAGCGAGGUUUUUGUUGUGCCUUUGGAGUACUUUGUCAAGCCCUUAGAUUACAAGACCUUCUCUUAUAAAACCUCCUCAGGGUACUCAACUCGAGUACACUGCUUUACAUACCAUGACCAGGAACACAGAAAGUCAUUCAAGAUAUGGGGACUGACUGCACACUUUGCUGUAUUUCUUGCUCUUGUAAUUUUUGGAGAGAGACCUACCUUUGAAGUGGAUUAUGAUCUUGACAACUUAUUUUCAUCCUCUGAGAAUUACUUCACUAAUUUGUAUGCAUCUAUACAUGAAAGAAAGAAGAGUAAUCUGUGAGAACUUGGUCUGGCCAUGAAUUUAUUUUGAAAGAGGAAAAAGGAGGAGUCUUCUCCAGGACAGAAAAGUGGAGGUGAGGAUUCAUGAGGACAACCCACCAAAUAAACAACAACAGAGAGGGAUUCAGAACCUACAAAACAGCCCCUGAAGAAUCGUCGGAGACCAACACUGCACAGCAAGAGCAUCUGAACAGUUAAGGACUGAAUUCUCCACGCCAAACACACUGAAACCUGAAGACAAGAUAAAGCAGUAUAAAUUUGAGUCAAUAAGUUGUUAGGAAAAUUAAUCCACAAACAUCAGAGGUUUAUGUCCAAAAAGGAGACAGAGGAGUCCUUUUUCUUUAUUUGAAUAAAGGGAAAGGCCAUGGGGCAUUCCCCUGGGAUCUCUCCAAUUUUUGGAGGACACAGCCUCCUUUUUAUCCCAAUUUCCAGCCACAUUUCCCUUCUUUUUCCCCCCUUGGCUGAGGUACUUGAGAGGUUCAGACUUCCUGGUAUGCCUGAUACCAAAGAUUUCCCUCUAAGGUAUAACCCUCCCUUUUAAUUU